Molecule: ribosomal RNA, 253 nt
Filed under: uncultured bacterium
Lineage: Bacteria
Description: partial 16S ribosomal RNA
Rfam family: Bacterial small subunit ribosomal RNA
Source: RNAcentral
UACGUAGGGUGCGAGCGUUGUCCGGAAUUAUUGGGCGUAAAGAGCUUGUAGGCGGUUUGUCGCGUCUGCCGUGAAAGCCCAGGGCUUAACCCUGGGUCUGCGGUGGGUACGGGCAGACUAGAGUGUGGUAGGGGAGACUGGAAUUCCUGGUGUAGCGGUGAAAUGCGCAGAUAUCAGGAGGAACACCAAUGGCGAAGGCAGGUCUCUGGGCCACUACUGACGCUGAGAAGCGAAAGCAUGGGGAGCAAACAGG